AUGAACUAUAAAACGUUUCCACUCAUAGUGACCUCAGCAACCUGUGUCCUGUCUUCUCAAUGUGACAGAUUGGGGCCAUCUUCAGAGCCUGCAUCGGAGUGCUCCAUUCUGCGCAGCCCUCCACAAUCUUUGAGGAGCAGGCUUGUACCACAGCCAAUAUCUCUGCUUGGCAACUCUAAUGAACAAAUUGCCACAAAAGUGAGACAGAACACACCUUUUUGAUUUCCUGCUCUUCUAAGACAAAGUGAUUUAGAAUUUCUGUGCAAGCAAGAGAACUAAAGACCUCUUUAAAGAAGAGAAGGUAAGUCCCAGGAACCAAAAUGUCUCCAGUCUUAGAGGCUUCUUCAAAUAUGCAGCUUGUUGGUCUUGACAAAAUAAGUUAAUUUCACAAAGCUACAGUUUACUUUGCAGUCCAUUACUUAUGCUAUUACCCUUCAUGAAUUAGCUUUAGGUAAAUGAUUCCAAAAAGUAUAAUUAAUCUGAUUCUCAUACUAUUUCUACAGGCUUUUCUUUUUCUGGAAAAUUAGAUGAAUGAGGACAUUUGAAAGUAAAAAAUCUCUGCAUUUUGACUAGAGAGAAUUUUCUACCAGGAUAGGAUAGAAUUAUCACAAUGGAUUACAAAGUGUGUAUGGUGUGAUGUGGUGUGUGUGUGUGCAUGUACACACACGUGCUUUCACCAGUUUGGAAGUGAUUUGUUGGAGAGUUCUCUUGUUCUCAGGAAGUCUUAAUCCUUUCUGAUCAGCACUUACAUGUCAACCUUAGAGAAUUAAACCUGUACCUGGUUACUUUUUUUUCUCUCCUUGAUAUAGCUCAAUGCAUUUUCUCAAUGGUAACCAUGGUCUAGUAAUUAAAAGCCUUUGAACCUUAUGAACAGAUUCAUUUAAAACCAUAUUCUGAGGGCUUUCCACAAAAUGGAAAGUGUCUUCUACCAGGAAGCUACAAAAGAAUUUACAAGAGAAAAUCUGCUAAGUGUCCCGCUCAGGAUGAGUGUACGGUAACAUGCCUAGAAGAUCCAGUGUCCUAAAGGAAGUCAUUCACAAAGGGCCUGACUCUUUGGGCUUAAUGGGAUGAACUCUGAAUUUCUUUGCUUUCUCCUAAUCGAUGGUGUGUUUCUUAUUUUAAUACAAAAUUUAGCAAAAAGUUUUUAUGAAGUAAAGUACUUUCUACAUAAAUUACAAAAUAAAUAUAAAAAUAUGUAGGAAUGUUAUUUCUUUUUGAUGCUAUUCAUUGAAAGACAAUAUAUUAAAUUUUUAAAAUCAUGUCAGAAGUUUAGAGGGCA
RNAcentral lists this long non-coding RNA (1279 nucleotides) under Macaca mulatta (Rhesus monkey). RNAcentral's name for it is "lncRNA (ENSMMUG00000059886.1)". The record is from RNAcentral. Lineage: Eukaryota; Metazoa; Chordata; Mammalia; Primates; Cercopithecidae.